UACGUAGGGUGCGAGCGUUGUCCGGAAUUAUUGGGCGUAAAGAGCUCGUAGGCGGUUUGUCGCGUCUGCCGUGAAAGUCCGGGCUCAACUCCGGAUCUGCGGUGGGUACGGGCAGACUAGAGUGAUGUAGGGGAGACUGGAAUUCCUGGUGUAGCGGUGAAAUGCGCAGAUAUCAGGAGGAACACCGAUGGCGAAGGCAGGUCUCUGGGCAUUAACUGACGCUGAGGAGCGAAAGCAUGGGGAGCGAACAGG
This 252-nucleotide ribosomal RNA is filed under the name uncultured bacterium. RNAcentral describes it as "partial 16S ribosomal RNA". It matches the Rfam family "Bacterial small subunit ribosomal RNA", at positions 524 to 776 of the family's 1533-position model. The record is from RNAcentral.